This is a long non-coding RNA of Phyllostomus discolor (pale spear-nosed bat), 941 nucleotides long. RefSeq lists it as uncharacterized. The transcript is spliced from 5 exons. NCBI's taxonomy places the organism in Eukaryota, Metazoa, Chordata, Mammalia, Chiroptera, Phyllostomidae. The record is from RefSeq and is a predicted model, not a curated record.
GGCGGAGGCCGGAAGUGGGUGGUGGAUAUAUCAGGGCCAGCGGGGAGGUGGGUGCAGAUGCUGCGGGGCUGAAGGAGGCUGAGGCCAGCAGCACCCCCCUCGUGGCACAGCAUCCAGGAAGCAUGAGAGGCCUCCAUCUGGUCCUGCUGGCGGUCCUGCUGUGCUCGGACCAUGCCCUGAGCCUGCAGUGCUACUUCUGUCCUGGGGUCCAGACGAUCACGCAGUGCUGGGUCAUGACCUGUGGACAGGGACAGAACGUCUGCUUUAAGGGCAACCUGAUCACCACCUUGCCAGAUGGACUCAAGAAGCUCAGCAUGCAGCAAGAGGGGUUGUUCCACUUCCUGUGAGGAGGUUUCCAACAGACUAAGGCAGUACCUGGCUCAGGCCCAAGAGCCAGGUCCACUGGAUAAGAUAUUCCAGAACCUGGGUCCGCUGGCCCCCAAGUCUGAAUUGCAGGAUGUGUCCUGUUGUAAGACGGACCUCUGUAAUGGGGUGUCCCGGGCAGGGCAGAGCCUCUGGGCCCUCGCUGGGGGGCUCCUGCUCAGCCUGGGGCCAGCCCUGCUCUGGGCCCUGCUGUGAGGACCCGCCUCGGGCACAGAAAAGGGUGAGGGCGGCCGUGUCCAGGCAGCACCCACGGGGCCCCACGGCGAGCUGGCUGUCCCACCCACACUGGCCCGCUCAGACCUGGGAGCGCUCGGCCAAAGGGCUGAGCUGCCCUCCUCCCAGUGCAGGGGCCCAGAGAAAGGGCGGCCGGCCCCCCUGCACCGACCCGGCUGUGCCCACAAGCCUGUCUGGUUUGCCAGCAGCGACCGUUCACCUCUGCCCCACGAGGCAGGCACCACCUGCUGGGCAGGGGCCCUGGGAGAGCCGCCCCACAGCCCCUCCUGCAAGUUCCCCAGUGUGCCCCCCGCAAAGAGAUAAUAAACUUGGCAGCCCCCGCC